UACGUAGGGGGCAAGCGUUGUUCGGAAUUACUGGGCGUAAAGCGUGCGCAGGCGGUUUUGCAAGUCAGAUGUGAAAGCCCCGGGCUCAACCUGGGAAUUGCAUUUGAAACUACAAGGCUAGAGUGUGUCAGAGGGGGGUAGAAUUCCACGUGUAGCAGUGAAAUGCGUAGAGAUGUGGAGGAAUACCGAUGGCGAAGGCAGCCCCCUGGGAUAACACUGACGCUCAUGCACGAAAGCGUGGGGAGCAAACAGG
RNAcentral lists this ribosomal RNA (253 nucleotides) under uncultured bacterium. RNAcentral's name for it is "partial 16S ribosomal RNA". It matches the Rfam family "Bacterial small subunit ribosomal RNA", at positions 524 to 776 of the family's 1533-position model. The record is from RNAcentral.